GCCGGGUGUGGUGGCUCAUGCCUGUAAUCCCAGCACUUUGGGAGGCUGAGGUGGGUGGAUCACCUGAGGUCAGGAGUUUGAGACCAGCCUGACCAACAUGGUGAAACCCCGUCUCUA
RNAcentral lists this non-coding RNA (117 nucleotides) under Gorilla gorilla gorilla (western lowland gorilla). Lineage: Eukaryota; Metazoa; Chordata; Mammalia; Primates; Hominidae. The record is from Rfam by way of RNAcentral.